AUGUGAAAGCACGGUCCACGCGGACUUACCAUGUCACAUGUAUACCCCAACAAAAUGUGCCCUGAAGGCUUUCACAGAGGGCCUGAGACACGAGCUGAGACAACAGAAAACGAAAAUACGGACAACGGUUAUUAGUCCUGCAUUGGUGGACACUCCGCAAUCUAGAGACGACAUGGAUGACAGCUUCUUCUGUCCGGAAACUUGUCUUCAACCAGACGACGUCGCUGCCGCCGUGACCUUUGCCCUCGGCGCCCCGCCAUGUGUUAACGUAAGAUAUUUAUAUCAUUAAGCAUUGCAUUCAAUACCUUUUAGUUAACCCCGUUUAUCUGGUUACAAUAAGAGUCAGACAAAGUACACAGUACUUUGAAAGAAUAGUAUGAUCUUAUGUUUUUCAUUGCCAUGUAUCUUCUCAUUUGCGUGUUAGGUAUUCCGAACAAAGGUUCAAGGUGCCAUAAAAUUAUGUAUUAUUGGAUGAUGAAAUUACUAUUUGCUCUCUCAAAGAUGAAUCUGUUGUUGCUUGCUCCCAUCUAUCAGGUGCUUCAAUGGAGAAACAGUUUAUUUCAUUGUAACAACUUUAUUUUCCAGGUUCGCCCUAUUUG
Long non-coding RNA from Lingula anatina, 599 nucleotides. The record is from RefSeq and is a predicted model, not a curated record. Lineage: Eukaryota; Metazoa; Brachiopoda; Lingulata; Lingulida; Lingulidae.